Molecule: non-coding RNA, 38 nt
Filed under: Trypanosoma brucei brucei
Lineage: Eukaryota; Euglenozoa; Kinetoplastea; Trypanosomatida; Trypanosomatidae
Source: RNAcentral
AAAACAACAGAUAUGAAUUCAAGUGAGUGAUACAGUAU